ACGGCUCAGUAACACGUGGCUAAUCUGCCCUUAGGACGAGAACAACCCCGGGAAACUGGGGCUAACUCUCGAUAGGCGAAGAACACUGGAAUGUGUCUUCACCUAAAUAAUGCGGCGUUAUGCUCGUUGCAUCGCCUAAGGAUGAGGCCGCGGCCGAUCAGGUUGUUGGUGAGGUAAUGGCUCACCAAGCCUUUUACCGGUGCGGGCCGUGAGAGCGGGAGCCCGGAGAUGGGUACUGAGACAAGGACCCAGGCCCUACGGGGCGCAGCAGUCGCGAAAACUUUGCAAUAGGCGAAAGCCUGACAGGGCUAUCCCGAGUGCCAUCCGCUGAGGAAGGCUUUUACCCAGUCUAGAACGCUGGGGGAAUAAGGAGAGGGCAAGUCUGGUGUCAGCCGCCGCGGUAAUACCAGCUCUUCGAGUGGUGUGGAUGUUUAUUGGGCCUAAAGCAUCCGUAGCUGGCUAAGUCAGUCCCUUGUUAAAUCCACCGAAUUAAUCGUUGGAUUGCGGGGGAUACUGCUUGGCUAGGGGACGAGAGAGGCAGACGGUAUUUUCGGGGUAGGGGUGAAAUCCUAUAAUCCCGGGAAGACCACCAGUGGCGAAGGCUGUCUGCUAGAACGCGCCCGACGGUGAGGGAUGAAAGCUGGGGGAGCGAACCGGAUUAGAUACCCGGGUAGUCCCAGCUGUAAACGAUGCAGGCUAGGUGUUUGGACGGCCACGUGCCGUUCUAGUGCCGCAGGGAAGCUGUUAAGCCUGCCGCCUGGGGAGUACGAUCGCAAGAUUGAAACUUAAAGGAAUUGGCGGGGGAGCAC
This 809-nucleotide ribosomal RNA is filed under the name uncultured archaeon. RNAcentral describes it as "bacterial SSU rRNA". It matches the Rfam family "Archaeal small subunit ribosomal RNA", at positions 85 to 879 of the family's 1478-position model. The record is from RNAcentral.